Molecule: ribosomal RNA, 460 nt
Filed under: uncultured bacterium
Lineage: Bacteria
Description: partial 16S ribosomal RNA
Rfam family: Bacterial small subunit ribosomal RNA
Source: RNAcentral
CCUACGGGAGGCAGCAGUGAGGAAUAUUGGUCAAUGGGCGUACGCCUGAACCAGCCAAGUCGCGUGAGGGAAGACUGCCCUAUGGGUUGUAAACCUCUUUUGUCAGGGAGCAACGCCGGCUACGUGUAGCCGGACUGAGAGUACCUGAAGAAAAAGCAUCGGCUAACUCGGUGCCAGCAGCCGCGGUAAUACGGAGGAUGCGAGGGUUAUGCGGAUUUAUUGGGGUUAAAGGGUGCUUAGGGGGAAGGCCAAGUCAGCGGUAAAACCGCGGGGCUCAACCUCGCGCCGCAGUGGAAACUGGCGGUCUGGAGUGGGCGAGAAGUAUGCGGAAUGCGUGGUGUAGCGGUGAAAUGCAUAGAUAUCACGCAGAACUCCGGUGGCGAAGGCAGCAUACCGGCGCCCAACUGACGCUGAAGCACGAAAGCGUGGGUAUCGAACAGGAUUAGAUACCCGAGUAGUC